GAAUGAACGAGUUCCAAGCAGAAAUUGCGGUCCUUACCAAAGUCAGACAUAGGCACUUGGUUGCUCUACUUGGUUCAUGUGUUAAUGGAAAUGAGAGACUUUUGGUGUAUGAGUAUAUGCCGCAAGGAACUUUGAGUCAGCAUUUGUUUGAAUGGCAAGAAUUAGGCUACAAACCUCUUACUUGGAAGCAAAGGGUAACGAUAGCAUUGGAUGUGGCAAGAGGGGUUGAAUACCUUCAUAGCUUGGCACAACAAAGUUUCAUUCAUAGAGAUUUAAAACCGUCAAACAUCCUUCUCGGAGACGACAUGAGAGCCAAGGUUGCAGAUUUU
This 329-nucleotide unclassified non-coding RNA is filed under the name Hevea brasiliensis (rubber tree). Lineage: Eukaryota; Viridiplantae; Streptophyta; Magnoliopsida; Malpighiales; Euphorbiaceae. The record is from RNAcentral.